GACGAACGCUGGCGGCGUGCUUAACACAUGCAAGUCGAACGGAAAGGCCCUGCUUUUGUGGGGUGCUCGAGUGGCGAACGGGUGAGUAACACGUGAGUAACCUGCCCUUGACUUUGGGAUAACUUCAGGAAACUGGGGCUAAUACCGGAUAGGAGCUCCUGCUGCAUGGUGGGGGUUGGAAAGUUUCGGCGGUUGGGGAUGGACUCGCGGCUUAUCAGCUUGUUGGUGGGGUAGUGGCUUACCAAGGCUUUGACGGGUAGCCGGCCUGAGAGGGUGACCGGCCACAUGGGGACUGAGAUACAGCCCAGACUCCUACGGGAGGCAGCAGUGGGGAAUAUUGCACAAUGGGCGGAAGCCUGAUGCAGCAACGCCGCGUGCGGGAUGACGGCCUUCGGGUUGUAAACCGCUUUCGCCUGUGACGAAGCGUGAGUGACGGUAAUGGGUAAAGAAGCACCGGCUAACUACGUG
RNAcentral lists this ribosomal RNA (468 nucleotides) under uncultured bacterium. RNAcentral describes it as "partial 16S ribosomal RNA". It matches the Rfam family "Bacterial small subunit ribosomal RNA", at positions 28 to 507 of the family's 1533-position model. The record is from RNAcentral.